UACAGGGGGUGCAAACGUUGCUCGGAAUUAUUGGGCGUAAAGCGCGCGUAGGCGGCCACUUAAGUCGGAUGUGAAAGCCCCUGGCUCAACUGGGGAAGUGCACCCGAAACUGAAUGGCUUGAGUGCGAAAGAGGGUCGCGGAAUUCCCGGUGUAGAGGUGAAAUUCGUAGAUAUCGGGAGGAACACCGGUGGCGAAGGCGGCGACCUGGGUCGACACUGACGCUGAGGCGCGAAAGCGUGGGGAGCAAACAGGAUUAGAUACCCUGGUAGUCCACGCCGUAAACGAUGGGUGCUAGAUGUUUCUGGUAUUGACCCCGGAGGCGUCGUAGCUAACGCGUUAAGCACCCCGCCUGGGAAGUACGGCCGCAAGGCUAAA
This 376-nucleotide ribosomal RNA is filed under the name uncultured bacterium. Its description in RNAcentral is "bacterial SSU rRNA". It matches the Rfam family "Bacterial small subunit ribosomal RNA", at positions 524 to 898 of the family's 1533-position model. The record is from RNAcentral.